CCUACGGGAGGCAGCAGUAAGGAAUAUUGGUCAAUGGAGGCAACUCUGAACCAGCCAUGCCGCGUGCAGGAAGACAGCCCUCUGGGUCGUAAACUGCUUUUAUUCGGGAAUAAACCUCAUUAUGUAUAGUGAGCUGAAUGUACCGAAGGAAUAAGGAUCGGCUAACUCCGUGCCAGCAGCCGCGGUAAUACGGAGGAUCCAAGCGUUAUCCGGAUUUAUUGGGUUUAAAGGGUGCGUAGGCGGCUUUUUAAGUCAGGGGUUGAAAGACGGUAGCUCAACUAUCGCAGUGCCCUUGAUACUGAAGAGCUUGAAUGGACUAGAGGUAGGCGGAAUGUGACAAGUAGCGGUGAAAUGCAUAGAUAUGUCACAGAACACCGAUUGCGAAGGCAGCUUACUAUGGUUUUAUUGACGCUGAGGCACGAAAGCGUGGGGAUCAAACAGGAUUAGAUAACCCUGGUAGUCCACGCCCUAAACGAUGAAUACUCGCUGUUAGCGAUACACAGUAGUCGGCGUACGACGAAGACGUUAAGUUAGUUACCUACCGUACGGGUAGGUACGGUCGCGAGAGUUAGUAAACGUACGAAAGUAGUAAGUUAGUACGGACGUGAGGACGUAGACCGACGGACGACGACGAGGGGAGGAGG
Molecule: ribosomal RNA, 644 nt
Filed under: uncultured bacterium
Lineage: Bacteria
Description: bacterial SSU rRNA
Rfam family: Bacterial small subunit ribosomal RNA (bases 1-539)
Source: RNAcentral